Molecule: ribosomal RNA, 478 nt
Filed under: uncultured bacterium
Lineage: Bacteria
Description: partial 16S ribosomal RNA
Rfam family: Bacterial small subunit ribosomal RNA
Source: RNAcentral
GAUGAACGCUGGCGGCGUGCUUAACACAUGCAAGUCGAACGAGAAGUGGAGACGGAAACCUUCGGGCGGAAGACUUUAUUUCGAGUGGCGGACGGGUGAGUAACGCGUGGGUAACCUGCCUCAUACAGGGGGAUAACAGUUGGAAUCGACUGUUAAUACCGCAUAAGACCACAGCACCGCAUGGUGCGGGGGUAAAAACUCCGGUGGUAUGAGAUGGACCCGCGUUCGAUUAGCCAGUUGGCGGGGUAACGGCCCACCAAAGCGACGAUCGAUAGCCGAUCUGAGAGGAUGACCGGCCACAUUGGGACUGAGACACGGCCCAAACUCCUACGGGAGGCAGCAGUGGGGAAUAUUGCACAAUGGGGGAAACCCUGAUGCAGCGACGCCGCGUGAGUGAAGAAGUAUUUCGGUAUGUAAAGCUCUAUCAGCAGGGAAGAAAAUGACGGUACCUGAGUAAGAAGCCCCGGCUAACUACGUG